RNAcentral lists this ribosomal RNA (464 nucleotides) under uncultured bacterium. RNAcentral's name for it is "bacterial SSU rRNA". It matches the Rfam family "Bacterial small subunit ribosomal RNA", at positions 470 to 931 of the family's 1533-position model. The record is from RNAcentral.
UGACGGUACCUGCAGAAGAAGCGCCGGCUAACUACGUGCCAGCAGCCGCGGUAAUACGUAGGGCGCAAGCGUUAUCCGGAUUUAUUGGGCGUAAAGAGCUCGUAGGCGGUUUGUCGUGUCUGCCGUGAAAGUCCGAGGCUCAACCUCGGAUCUGCGGUGGGUACGGGCAGACUAGAGUGAUGUAGGGGAGACUGGAAUUCCUGGUGUAGCGGUGAAAUGCGCAGAUAUCAGGAGGAACACCGAUGGCGAAGGCAGGUCUCUGGGCAUUUACUGACGCUGAGGAGCGAAAGCAUGGGGAGCGAACAGGAUUAGAUACCCUGGUAGUCCAUGCCGUAAACGUUGGGCACUAGGUGUGGGGGACAUUCCACGUUUUCCGCGCCGUAGCUAACGCAUUAAGUGCCCCCGCCUGGGGAGUACNGCCGCAAGGCUAAAACUCAAGGAAUUGACGGGGGCCCNCACAAGCG